This 251-nucleotide ribosomal RNA is filed under the name uncultured bacterium. Its description in RNAcentral is "partial 16S ribosomal RNA". It matches the Rfam family "Bacterial small subunit ribosomal RNA", at positions 524 to 776 of the family's 1533-position model. The record is from RNAcentral.
GACGGGGGGGGCAAGUGUUCUUCGGAAUGACUGGGCGUAAAGGGCACGUAGGCGGUGAAUCGGGUUGAAAGUGAAAGUCGCCAAAAAGUGGCGGAAUGCUCUCGAAACCAAUUCACUUGAGUGAGACAGAGGAGAGUGGAAUUUCGUGUGUAGGGGUGAAAUCCGUAAAUAUACGAAGGAACGCCAAAAGCAAAGGCAGCUCUCUGGGUCCCUACAGACGCUGGGGUGCGAAAGCAUGGGGAGCGAACAGG